UGCAAGUCGAGGGGUAACGGGGAAGCUUGCUUCCGCCGACGACCGGCGCACGGGUGCGUAACGCGUAUACAAUCUACCUUAUACUGGGGUAUAGCCUUUAGAAAUGAAGAUUAACCCCCCAUAGUCUCUUAGAGUGGCAUCACUUCUGGAGUAAAGGUUACGGUAUAAGAUGAGUAUGCGUUCUAUUAGUUUGUUGGUGUGGUAACGGCACACCAAGACUACGAUAGAUAGGGGCCCUGAGAGGGGGAUCCCCCACACUGGUACUGAGACACGGACCAGACUCCUACGGGAGGCAGCAGUGAGGAAUAUUGGACAAUGGAGGCAACUCUGAUCCAGCCAUGCCGCGUGCAGGAAGACUGCCCUAUGGGUUGUAAACUGCUUUUAUACAGGAAGAAACACCUCUACGUGUAGAGGCUUGACGGUACUGUAAGAAUAAGGAUCGGCUAACUCCGUGCCAGCAGCCGCGGUAAUACGGAGGAUCCAAGCGUUAUCCGGAAUCAUUGGGUUUAAAGGGUCCGUAGGUGGAUAAUUAAGUCAGAGGUGAAAUCUUGCAGCUCAACUGUAAAAUUGCCUUUGAAACUGGUUAUCUUGAGUUAUUAUGAAGUAGUUAGAAUAUGUAGUGUAGCGGUGAAAUGCAUAGAUAUUACAUAGAAUACCAAUUGCGAAGGCAGAUUACUAAUAAUCAACUGACACUGAUGGACGAAAGCGUGGGUAGCGAACAGGAUUAGAUACCCUGGUAGUCCACGCCGUAAACGAUGGUUACUAGCUGUUUGGACUUCGGUCUGAGUGGCUAAGCGAAAGUGAUAAGUAACCCACCUGGGGAGUACGUUCGCAAGAAUGAAACUCAAAGGAAUUGACGGGGGCCCGCACAAGCGGUGGAGCAUGUGGUUUAAUUCGAUGAUACGCGAGGAACCUUACCAGGGCUUAAAUGUAAGUUGCAUUAGUUAGAGAUAGCUAUUUCUUCGGACCACUUACAAGGUGCUGCAUGGUUGUCGUCAGCUCGUGCCGUGAGGUGUCAGGUUAAGUCCUAUAACGAGCGCAACCCCUGUUGUUAGUUGCCAGCGAGUCAUGUCGGGAACUCUAGCAAGACUGCCAGUGCAAACUGUGAGGAAGGUGGGGAUGACGUCAAAUCAUCACGGCCCUUACGUCCUGGGCUACACACGUGCUACAAUGGUAGGUACAGAGAGCAGCCACUGCGCGAGCAGGAGCGAAUCUAUAAAACCUAUCACAGUUCGGAUCGGAGUCUGCAACUCGACUCCGUGAAGCUGGAAUCGCUAGUAAUCGGAUAUCAGCCAUGAUCCGGUGAAUACGUUCCCGGGCCUUGUACACACCGCCCGUCAAGCCAUGGAAGUUGGAAGUGCCUGAAGUCCGUCACCGUAAGGA
Molecule: ribosomal RNA, 1383 nt
Filed under: uncultured Bacteroidota/Chlorobiota group bacterium
Lineage: Bacteria; Pseudomonadati
Description: bacterial SSU rRNA
Rfam family: Bacterial small subunit ribosomal RNA
Source: RNAcentral